AGUAACAACCUGGAAACAAGAUGCUAAUACCGGAUAACAACAGAUGAUGCCUAUCAACUGUUUAAAAGAUGGUUCUGCUAUCACUCUUGGAUGGACCUGCGGUGCAUUAGCUAGUUGGUAGGGUAACGGCCUACCAAGGCGAUGAUGCAUAGCCGAGUUGAGAGACUGAUCGGCCACAUUGGGACUGAGACACGGCCCAAACUCCUACGGGAGGCAGCAGCA
RNAcentral lists this ribosomal RNA (222 nucleotides) under uncultured Lactobacillus sp. RNAcentral's name for it is "partial 16S ribosomal RNA". It matches the Rfam family "Bacterial small subunit ribosomal RNA", at positions 142 to 355 of the family's 1533-position model. The record is from RNAcentral. Lineage: Bacteria; Bacillati; Bacillota; Bacilli; Lactobacillales; Lactobacillaceae.